Molecule: ribosomal RNA, 1371 nt
Filed under: Bryopa lata
Lineage: Eukaryota; Metazoa; Mollusca; Bivalvia; Clavagellidae
Description: 16S ribosomal RNA
Rfam family: Bacterial large subunit ribosomal RNA
Source: RNAcentral
AUAACAGUACCUUGUGGGAAGAUAUAGUAUUAAUUGAAAGAAGGGGCUAUGCCACGUACCUUUUGCAUAAUGGGCUAUUAAAUAGGAGUUAGGGAAGUGCUAGUUCCCGAAGCCUUUCGAGCUACCCUUGUUAUAAGUUGGGCUGUUGCACAAUCUCACACAAGUCUGGGGUAGGAGUGACAUGCUUUUCGCGUAAGGUGAUUAUCUGGUUAGGAGCGAGGUGCAUAUAGUGCAGCCUGUGUGUAUUUCCGUGUUUGGGCACAUAUAUGCAUACAUAUAUGUGUGUUACUCUGUAGAAUGGUUUGUUCUUUAGAGUUCAUGCGCAGAGUGAGUGGUGAGGGGCCAAGCUCUUUUCACUAUAAAAAAUGUUUAGGGCAUAGUCUUAUCUGAUGCUAGGUGUGGGGUUUAUCUACUACUACCUCGCAUGCGUGGUGGUGGGUGUUCCAUGCACUAUGUUGAGAGAUAAGGAGAGAUAUGGGGGUGGGUCCCGUAAGCGAUCAGGUCCAUAAAGAGUGCGUUGUAGCUCACCGUCUUGUACAGUAAAAUUAUAGGACGUGCGUUUUUAGUUUUAGCUUCUUGUUGUGCUUUGAAAUUAAGGUGUAAAAAGGAAACACGCGGAGGGUCCAAUCUCUUUAGCAUAAGUAAUUAGAAUAGUAUAAGUAGUGUAUUAGUUUAUCGAAUUAGGUGAAUGCUGGAGUGGCUUAUAUACUUCGGUAAUAGAUGAUAAUAGAUUAAGGUAAGGAACUUGGCAAAAAGAAGCUUCGCCUGUUUACCAAAAACGCCGCCCUUCGAGUGUAAUAUGGGGGGUCGGGCCUGCCCGGUGAUACUGUUAAACGGCCGCCGUAAAGGGUGCGAAGGUAGCAAAGUCUAUAGCCCCUUAAUUGGGGGCGUGUGAAUGGUCUGACGUAGGCUUAACUGUCUCACUUUGAUUUAUAUUGAAACUUACUUUUAGGUGAAAAGGCUUAAAUCUGCAGGUUGGACGAGGAGACCCUGAUGAGCUUUAUCUAAAAAAAAGUGGCUGUCUUUUCAGUAGAGUUGGUUGGGGCAACCAAAGAGUAAAAAAAACCUCUUUUAUUACAAUAGUCUGAUGGGGUGACCCGCGAUGUGCGAUUAUCAGAGUCAGCUACCACAGGGAUAACAGCGUAAUCUUUCCUGAGAGUCCUUAUUGACGGAUGGGGUUGCGACCUCGAUGUUGAAUUAGGGCAUCCGUGGGGUGAAGAGGCUCCAGAAGGUGGGUCUGUUCGACCAUAAAAGCCCUACAUGAUUUGAGUUCAGACCGGCGUGAGCCAGGUCAGUUUCUAUCUUCCUGCUGUUAAAAUAAGGGCUUACUUGUACGAAAGGACCGCGAGCCAUGACUAAGUCGAGGUUCUA